GUUGACAAUUCAUUUCUGUCUCCACAAUUUGUCUAUAAAAAUGACCUAUGUUUACAUUGCUCAUCACCAACCUAGCCCUCUUUGAUGGAUAUGAAAAUGAACAGCUCAUCUUUGCGCCAGCUGCUCCUGCUUCUCCUGGCUUUCUCUCUUCUUCUCUCCACCACUGCCGCAGUUCCUACUUCCCGUAAGUACAAAAGCAUACUCACUAUUUCGGUAAUGUUUAAAAACGAAUGUUAGAAUAUAAUAUAUGCAUGAUUGUUCUGCAUUCUUCUUCUAACUCCUCGAGAUUUUAGAAACGCAACGUUAAUCUGGCUAUAUGCGGAUGAAUGUCUCUUGUAUUGGUUCCAAGUAUUCACCUUAACCAUGUUACACAUAUAUCAACUCAUACCGAAAUCCACUCUGAAACCUCAGAAACAAAUUGUUAAAAUAUUAUAGUUUCAUAUAUCAUUUUCUGAUACAUGAAUAGACUGUGUACAAAGAGAAAUUAACUUUUUGAGCGGAAAGAGUUGAGCAUAUUUAAGUGGCUUGAUUAUAAGUGCAUAGGGAUUAAUCUGUAACACAAAGAUGUUAUGAAGCAAGAAAUGAUAACAUUCAUGUCAUUGAUCAACAGGGAGCCUUAAAUCGAUCAAGGAUACAUCUGCACUUCAAGGCUUACAUGAUGAGGUUCCUCCCCUCUCUUUGUCUAUUUCCUCGCUCUUAUUGAUAGCAUCAGCAUCAACAAUUAAACACAUUACGAACCUAUUCAUUAGGUGACACUUCACCCAUGCUUCUUAUGUGUUAAUAUGCUGGUAUUAAAGUAGUACAAGAUGGGAUCCCAUUAUAUAUCCUCUUCUUCCUUACAUAUAUUUUCGGUGAUUCUUACCUGGUAUAAAGUAGCAGAAAAUGGGAUCUAAUCAUCCUCUUCUUUCUUCCAUAUUUUUUUAGUGAAUCUUUUGGCUUAAUUAGAUAUCUGAACAAUGAGUUAUUGUCUCGUUCUGAUAUUAGAAAUUAUAUGAAAUGAUACCUUUCGUGUUUCAAUAAAUUAGGAAGUAUAAAGUCACCUGUUUUUUCUAUUUGUAAGUUGAGAAUUGGCUUGUGCAGGUAAUGGCAAAUAACGGGGAGCUACUGGUGGUUGAGGAAAUUGCGAUGGAGGGAAGAAUGGAUUUGGAAAAUACAGACUACCCUGGAACAGGUGCAAACAACCGACAUGACCCCAGGUCUCCAGGCAGAUUCUAAACGAAUGCAUGUAGCUUCAUCAAAUCUCUCCAUCGACCUUUCGUAGUAUUAUUAUUUUAUGUAAACGUGCUUGUGAAUUAAGAAGAAUCUAAUCCAUAUAUAUAUAGGGUCUUAUUCUAUUACAAACCAAUUCUCAUCUACAAACUAAAAACCAGACCCAACAGGACACGGAAUCACUAAAAACACCAGAUUAUUCACUAAAUAUUACACCCUCCCAAUACCAGAUUCAUACGUAUAUACACAUCAACUUCCAAUCAACGCCACCACCACCGAUUCCCAGCCACCAUUAUAGAUUCCGACUACCACCGAACUCGUCAAUUUAUUACAAAUAGGGGGGCAUUAAUUGAUUCAUUAAAAAUUAUAAUUAAAAAUGUAUAAAUUCGUGUUUGAAGAGUUGAAAGGACGAGAAUGGUGGUGAUGGGGCUCAUGGUGAUGGUCGGAGUCCUCGUGGUGAUGGUGAUUUUGAACCAUGGAGUGGGGGUGGGGGCUGGUGGGGAUCCAGGUUUUCUGGUAUAAUGUGAGUUUAUUAUUUAGUGAUUAAUCGAUCUGUUUUAGUAGUUCCGUGUCUUAUGUAAGUUUAUUAUUUAGUGAUUGCGCCGCUUGUUUUAGUGAUUGCGCGUCUGGUUUUUAGUUUGUAGGCGAGAUUUGGUUUGUAUUUGAGCAAAUGCCUCUAUAUAUAUAUAUGUUCACUCUUUUUAAUUACUGUACCACCUGCCCGCAUCAUUUUGUAUAUGGUUUUCCUUCAUCAUAUUUAUUUUAUAUCUAUUUACACCUAUAUCUUGCUGUAUAUAGUACUCUUGAUCACCAAAAAUCUAGGACCUCUAUAUUUUAAAUAAAAAUUUGAAAGAUGUAUAUUUAACGUAUUUGUGAAAUAAAGAUUUAGAAAUGGAGAAUUUCGGGCCCGUUAUUGUUUGGAGGCGGUCCCAGAUGUGUAUUAGUUCUACCAUAAUCAUUCUUGUCAAUGUUGAAUUGAGCGGAUGAGAAUUAUCAAAAUAGCAGAAAAUAUAUAUCUUCAAAAAAAAAUCAAAUUUUUUAUAAUUGAUUUGUCAAAAAAAUUGGAUCAAAAUUACACAUUGGUCUUCUUGUAUCUCCCUUUACUCCGUUAGCAAUAAAUAGUUUAAGCAACAAACAAAUCUCCAAAUCAACCAUAGAAUAGUUUUAAUCUCGGCCUUAUUUCCUUCACCGAUUAAAUAUGAACAAUAACUAUUAUUACAGUAAUCGUGUAACUGAGAGAAAAUAAGAUUGAGGUCAAAGAGCAGGAACUCUUUUCACAUACUUAUUUCACAAAUCUUUUCGGUUGUAAAUAUAUAAAUACCCAGUUCACCGCAUGUAUUCAUAGGACCAAAUAAAUACAUUGAAUUGGUACAAUCAGAACACCAACGGAUUUCAAUGAUUUUUCAUAUCGACUUAAUAACAAUAUUUAUUUAUUCUGUUAAAUGUAUAGAUAUCAAGGUUGGCUUCCAGUAUUUAUUGUUGCUGGAACCGGGAUAUUCAGUACUGGUGCUUGAGUUUGCAUUGGCUUCGGGUGUCGUUGAUGGUGAG
RNAcentral lists this long non-coding RNA (2757 nucleotides) under Daucus carota (carrot). RNAcentral's name for it is "long non-coding RNA (DCAR_LNC004512)". Lineage: Eukaryota; Viridiplantae; Streptophyta; Magnoliopsida; Apiales; Apiaceae. The record is from RNAcentral.